Molecule: long non-coding RNA, 487 nt
Filed under: Setaria viridis
Lineage: Eukaryota; Viridiplantae; Streptophyta; Magnoliopsida; Poales; Poaceae
Description: long non-coding RNA (SVIR_LNC005018)
Source: RNAcentral
CUGGUUAAAACCUACACAAAUAUUUAUCAAAAGAUGAAAAUAUUAUGUUUAAAUAGAUCUGAGUAUUUUACGAGCCGAGCUGGAAAAAAAUUCAGCUCAUUUCAGGUCGAAAAUUUAUGCCCACAAAAGUCCUCGUCGGGCCGAGUAUCAUAUCAAAGUUAAGCAUGGAUCAUAUGUUAACCAUGCUUGAUAACGAGUUAACAUAUGAUCGAUGCCGACUUUGAUUCCGCUUCUUUGACAAGUUUUUUUGAUAGCUUCAUUCUUCUCGUGCACUAUUUGCGUAAAUCAAAUGAUACGGUACUAGUCUUUUUUAAUCAUUGAUAGUUUUCUAGUCUUACACGCUGACAUGAUGAAUAAAGAUAAAGUAAUGGCUAUUAUAUUAAGUAACAUAACAUACUCCGUCCGACUUAAAAUACGACAUCUUAGAGAUUUUAGACAUAUUACUAUUUGUUUUGGCUUUUCUAAAUACGUACCUUUUGAUACGCAC